GACGAACCGUGCGAACGUUGUUCGGAUUCACUGGGCGUAAAGCGCGCGUAGGCGGCCACUUAAGUCGGAUGUGAAGGCCCCUGGCUCAACUGGGGAAGUGCACCCGAAACUGAAUGGCUUGAGUGCGAAAGAGGGUCGCGGAAUUCCCGGUGUAGAGGUGAAAUUCGUAGAUAUCGGGAGGAACACCGGUGGCGAAGGCGGCGACCUGGGUCGACACUGACGCUGAGGCGCGAAAGCGUGGGGAGCAAACAGG
RNAcentral lists this ribosomal RNA (253 nucleotides) under uncultured bacterium. RNAcentral describes it as "partial 16S ribosomal RNA". It matches the Rfam family "Bacterial small subunit ribosomal RNA", at positions 524 to 776 of the family's 1533-position model. The record is from RNAcentral.